AACGCUGCAAAAAUACAGAGGUUCCAAGAGAGAAGUAUUGUAAGUUAACUGGUGUCCUAAUUUUGCCUGAAAACAGCACGUCCUGGGAGCCAGAAGCCAACCCUGCAUCCCAGGCCCGAGGCUAGGGCCUCGCCCUCAGCCAGGGACACGUAAGGAGUCCUGACCUGGGAACCAGAGCCCCGGGUCUUACCCACCAAGUGACCCGGGGAAUGUUGCUCAACCAAUCAGAGCCUCACUUUCCUCAGAUCUAAUACGGGGCCAAUGUAACUACCCUCACAGCCCCUCCACAGUCCCACGAGGGCAGGAAUCCUGUCUUUUUCAUCACCCUGCCUUGUGGAGUGCCAGACACAGAGCAGGUAGUAAUAAAUGUUUGUUGAGUGACUGAAUAAAAGUCUAUGUGACAAGUUUGCCUCCCCUCCCCCAAAGGCCUUAAAAACAGGGACUGGGCUGACCCAUCUUAGGUUCUCGCACAGGUACAGCUUUCACUCCUCCGUGGGUUUAUUCACGCAGGAAAUCAUCCACAAGGACCUACUACGCGCCUGGCCCAGUUAAGGCCUCGGUGGCAUCCAGGACCCACACACAGCCUCAGCUGUGUCCUCACACGCCACCCCCUUCGCUUUUUUCUGGCCAGUGACUAUAAUACUUAGUCACAGUGGGCUUCCUCGGCCCAAGACAACGACCCGGCUGCCCUCUAAACAGCAAGCUUGGCCCAUUCUGGGCACUUGGACAAUGAUUCCUUCACUUCCACUUCCUUAUACCCCGCCCUGGGGAAAUACAGCCCAAGGAAAACCCCUACCCUAACCCCACACAUGCACUGGCACACACACACAGCCUUGCACACAUGCACUCAACGUGCAGUAGGACCCUAGGACAGAAGUUGGAUUUUCUGAGUUCAGAUCCCAGUUCUUUUGCUUAUGAGCUGUGUGACUUUGGGCAAGUCCCUUUACCUCUCUGAGCCUCAUUUUCUUCCUUUAUAAAAUGGGAAUGCUAAUCAUGAAGCCUUUCCAUGUAGUGUUAUAGGGAGAUUCAAUGAGAUAGUGGAUACAAAAACCUUUGGUUCAUCAAAGUGAUUUGCUCAACGACAUUGUUAUUUUUGUUCCCUUUCUCCAGGAGGGAAAGAGAAUGGCAGUUGCCUAGGUUUCAAGGAAAUCCAUGUUUAGGGGGCCUGGAAUGUGGGAAUUUACCCAGUCUAUUUGAUGGGGAUUAUUUUGAGGAUAGGAAAGUAUUUGUGGGUCCAACAUCACCAUGUUAACUUUAAGAUUAACUAAUGAAAAUUUAGAAUCAGAGACUGGAAGAGACCCAAGAGGUCACCGUAUUUGUGGCAGAGACAGCUAGCUGUCCACAAAAAUUCGUUCUCCCUUCCACAGUACACAGCCAUAGAUGGGAAAGAGCCACCCUUGCCAAGAGCUACAUUUCACAGCCUCGUUUGCAACUAGAUUGGUCACAUGACUAGUUCUCGUGUGUGGCAGAAAACAGUUAAGAAGCAAACAUGCCCCCUCCAUACUUUCUUUCCUUGGUGACGAUGUCCAAGGGAUAGUCGGAAUGUGAGAUGGCUCACUGAAUCACUGUGUGGAAGAGGACAACCCUCCACUCACAAAUACCUGCCUUAUAACAAACGUCUGUUUCGUUUGAGCCAUUAUACGUGCUUGGGUCUAUUUGUUACUGCACCUACUACCCUAAUACAACAUUCAACCUCCUUAUUUACAAGUGAGACGAUUAGGGCCAGAGAAUGAGAGUACCUUGCCUAAGGUCACACAGCAAAUUCAGCAAUGGUUAAGAACUUUGGUGUCUUAACAAUUUGGAGUAGAUUUUGCAGUUUUCAACCUGCCCCCGAGAGCCAUGAGGAUUCCGAGAGGCCCUUCGGCAGUGAGAGUGAGGUUCAGUGAGCUGCCGUCUGGAGUCCUCCACUUCUGUUUCUACUAGAAAAACAUCACUUUUAUCUGUCUUCAAAUUGCACUUCUCCAUAUAUUUUCAUCAGAAGAAAGGGCUCUGUGGCUUAAACUAAUGUCAAAGCCCGAAUGCUUGAUGAUGUGGUCUGACUUUCUGUGGUACAAGACCAAGUUUUGCUUCUUCUCCACCAUUGUCUCCUGGCCUCAGCUGCUGACACAGGGCAUGUAGACUCGCAGAAGAGCAUAGAUAUUUGCUUAGAAAGGAAAAAAAGAAGGCUCAGUGUGCAAACAAAGAACCCAGAAACUUGGACAAAGGACAAAAAGAAAAGACACUUAGCUCAGUGGUUCUCAGAUUUUAGGGUGUGUCAAAAUCACUGGGGGUGCUGAUUCAAAAUGCAGACUCCUAUACCCCAUCCUCAGAGAUUCUGACUCAAAAAACUGAUGCUCGUGGUCCCAGGAUUGCCCUUUGAGAAGUCCUGGGUCUAAUUCGACUCGGUGUAAUUCGACAGCAAGAACUACAGGGAAGAUUGGUCUUGAAAAGGAGGUCAGGGAUGACAAAAAGGAAGCUGGGGGCUGGGCCCUUGCAUAGAGAGAGAAGGUAGACCCACGGCUCAGCCACUUGCUUGCUGGCCUCUCUGAACCACAUAGGUCUGAAUGAUCAGACUGACAUCAAGUAACAGUUACUUGAGUAUAAUGAUGUGCUGUUUGCUCAUAACUUUGCCAAACGCUGGUCCAAAUGGCUCACCCAUUUAAAAUGUGCUAAUUUGAAAGCAGAGAGGGGAGUGGAAUAUUUUCAACAGAUACCACUGGCAAAGGGUUCAUAUCCUUCAUAUACAAAGAACUCUUAAAUAUCAAUAAGAAAGGAGACAAACAUGCCGGCAAGGAACAAAUGGGAAUAGACUUGAGCAGGAUAGUCAUAAAAUGAACAAUAAGAUUAAAAAGGUUAUUCAGCAUGAAUGAAGGCGUGCAAAGUCAAGCAGCCAGAUGUUAUUCUCACCUUUCCCAUCAGGGAAGUUUUAGGAGAUGGGUAGCAACCAGUGUGGGUGAGGCUGUGAGAACAUCACACCCCAACACUGUGCCAGGGGAGUGCAAGCCGGCACAACCUUCCAGGGCGAUAGCCUCAAAAGACUUAAAAACACGCGAACACUUGAGCCAGGAAUUUCACCUUAGGAAACGUAUCCAUAGGCCCAAACACGCAAAGAUGAUGUACUAGGAGCAGCCUUUGCAGUGCUGUUUAUAAUAAUGAAAAAAAAAAGAGGAAGAAGAAGCAACCACACGGAGGAAUGAUUAAUAAAUCCCAACUCACCCUCUCUGUGCAGCCAUUAAAAUGUAUAUUGGAGGAACAUAGAAAAUACAGAUGCAGGUUCAUGAUCCGUGGUUAAGGACAAGGUAAGGUACGAAACGAGAUGUUGGAAAAGCAUGUGUGUGUCCACAUCUAGAUACUCCUAUGUGUCUGGUACAUUGUAAGCACUCAACAAACAUCACAGGUCAAGUAGUGAGAGGGUGAGUGAGAGUUCUACAGAGAGGCACCCGAAGGUUCACCUCUGGGUUAGGAACCCCUUCUUUCCUCUCCAUAGCUGAGCGGUAGGACAGUCCAGCAGCUAAGAAGGUGGGAUCUGCAGACUCUCAUGUCCUUUGGAUCUCAGAGCCCAGCCCCGCACCCCCCCAACCUGACUCUCAGUUUCUUCACCUAUAAGAUGUGGACAAUGAAAGCAUCUCCCUUGUAGGCUUCUUGUGAGCAUUAACCGAAGGGAAACACUGAGCUCGCUGCUCUUGUAACUAUGGUGACCUCGCUGGUUUUUUACAGUUAGCAUGCAUUACUUUGGAAAUCUGAAAAUCAUAAUAAAGCUAUUUCCAUUUUGACA
This 3754-nucleotide long non-coding RNA is filed under the name Phocoena sinus (vaquita). RNAcentral describes it as "lncRNA (ENSPSNG00000015519.1)". The record is from RNAcentral. Lineage: Eukaryota; Metazoa; Chordata; Mammalia; Artiodactyla; Phocoenidae.